This 492-nucleotide ribosomal RNA is filed under the name uncultured bacterium. Its description in RNAcentral is "partial 16S ribosomal RNA". It matches the Rfam family "Bacterial small subunit ribosomal RNA", at positions 29 to 507 of the family's 1533-position model. The record is from RNAcentral.
AGUGAACGCUGGCGGUAUGCCUAACACAUGCAAGUCGAACGGCAGCACAGUAAGAGCUUGCUCUUACGGGUGGCGAGUGGCGGACGGGUGAGGAAUACAUCGGAAUCUACUUUUUCGUGGGGGAUAACGGAGGGAAACUGACGCUAAUACCGCAUACGACCUACGGGUGAAAGCAGGGGAUCUUCGGACCUUGCGCGAUUGAUUGAGCCGAUGUCGGAUUAGCUAGUUGGCGGGGUAAAGGCCCACCAAGGCAACGAUCCGUAGCUGGUCUGAGAGGAUGAUCAGCCACACUGGAACUGAGACACGGUCCAGACUCCUACGGGAGGCAGCAGUGGGGAAUAUUGGACAAUGGGCGCAAGCCUGAUCCAGCAAUACCGCGUGGGUGAAGAAGGCCUUCGGGUUGUAAAGCCCUUUUGUUGGGAAAGAAAAGCAGCAGGUUAAUACCCCGCUGUUCUGACGGUACCCAAAGAAUAAGCACCGGCUAACUUCGUG